This 497-nucleotide ribosomal RNA is filed under the name uncultured bacterium. RNAcentral describes it as "partial 16S ribosomal RNA". It matches the Rfam family "Bacterial small subunit ribosomal RNA", at positions 28 to 507 of the family's 1533-position model. The record is from RNAcentral.
GAUGAACGCUGGCGGCGUGCCUAAUACAUGCAAGUCGAGCGAACAGAUGAGGAGCUUGCUCCUCUGACGUUAGCGGCGGACGGGUGAGUAACACGUGGAUAACCUACCUAUAAGGCUGGGAUAACUUCGGGAAACCGGAGCUAAUACCGGAUAAUAUAUUGAACCGCAUGGUUCAAUAGUGAAAGACGGUUUUGCUGUCACUUAUAGAUGGAUCCGCGCCGCAUUAGCUAGUUGGUAAGGUAACGGCUUACCAAGGCAACGAUGCGUAGCCGACCUGAGAGGGUGAUCGGCCACACUGGAACUGAGACACGGUCCAGACUCCUACGGGAGGCAGCAGUAGGGAAUCUUCCGCAAUGGGCGAAAGCCUGACGGAGCAACGCCGCGUGAGUGAUGAAGGUCUUCGGAUCGUAAAACUCUGUUAUUAGGGAAGAACAAAUGUGUAAGUAACUAUGCACGUCUUGACGGUACCUAAUCAGAAAGCCACGGCUAACUACGUG